CAUGGAUCGAUCUACGUUUCAGCUGAGUUCUGAAACUUGCUUAGCUGCUAGUAGCAGUCAAAAUUGUAUGGUAACGCUAUGAUAAUUUGGUUUCAGAUGAACGAAUCCUAUCAACACCCAAGCAAAUGGACGGACGUGAGUCCGCCGUUCGAGAACCGUGAGCCAAACACACACCUAAUGUCGUACAACAUCCAACACUUGGACCGAGCUCCGUCUACGAGGCUCUGGUCCAAGCCAAAAAUCGCUACGGCUGGAAUGAGGUGUCUGAGAUGUUCCAGUUUUACACCCGCGCAGCUGGUGAGGAUUCUUACGAUUUUACCGAGGACCAAGAAAUGAAUGAAUUAGAAUUAGUUGCCAGUUGGUCAACGCGGAUAGUGCCCUCUUUAGUUCCCCUUUCUAUCAUCCUGUCGAUUCUUCUUUCAACAUGAAAGUAAGUAUACUGCCCCAAUUGUGUUUUUCAUAUCCCUUAUUCCGAUUAAAAUCAUUGGAAGAACACGUUUUAAUAAAAUAUUUGAGGAAUGAACACUUUUCUUAUUUGACAAAGAUAUUUUAUGAAAAAAAACGUAGAAAAUGGAUCGUAUUAAAAACUAAAGUCUUAAUGUGAUUCGGGUGUUUCUAGACCUAUUUUAUUCAUUCAACUUUUUUUCUCAGUAGAAAAAGAGAAUUCUAGGAAUGGGUCAAUGAAUGUGCUAAUCAAUUGAUGAGUGAAAAUUAACAAGUAACAGCAAGUGUGUUUGUCUCAAAUAUUCUGACAAGUAUGUCCAUGUACUCACUCCUAAAUUUGAGUAUAAUGUGUUCCCAAUGGAAUUGAAUGCUUGAUUGGAAUGAAGAUCGAAAUGAAGUCAGUGCCGUUUUACUCGAAACUCAUCUGAAUAUGUAAUUUUUAAACGCAGAAUCAAAGGCAUAAUAAAAUAAUGUGCAAUUUUCACCCUCAUCUCCGCAUUUUCCCUAAUGUGAGGUUUUUUUACAAUAUGUUCUCAAUUUUUGGAUUUACUUUUAGAUUACCUGCUUACAGGGUGUUUUAUUUUUGACCCUUGUCGUCUAUCGUUUAAAGUACUUGAAAAUCAUUGGAUUCUAAUUCUCACUUUUAAUUUUUUUCUGUUUCAGUGGAGAGCGACAAUAGACAUGUAUAAACUCUGUACCACUACGUUAGAGAUAUGUAAAUUACGUCUGAAAGAAGAAUCUGAGAGAUUUUUGUACAAAAUGUUUCUUUGUUUUUUUUCUGAACUCUUUUUCUACCGAGUUUUUAAAGUCUUCAUUGUGUACAGCCCCUUCAGUCAUCACCAUUAUUUUGGCCUCCUUUUUUAAAGUCCCCUAGAGUUACGAGAUAUUUUGUAUAAAGAUUCCACGUUUGAAAUUUUCAUCACGAAAAGCACCAUUGCUUAUUCAUCAAUCAUUGUAAAAGAGAAAUUAUACUAUUUUCCCUUUCCUUUGUAUAUAUACUUUAACCUUGCUAAAAGCAUAGAGGUAUGAAUUGUAUAUUGUCCUGAAUUUUCAAUAUUCCGAAUGCAACUCUCCCGGAAUUUAGAUACAAGAAUGAUAUAUUGUGGUGCUUCACGAAGAUUGAAGUAAAUGAAGCGAAAAUCCACAACAUUAGUCAUGCAUUGGGUCUGAGAGGUCGAACCAACUCGAGUUUUCGGGAAAAAUGAAACAUUGCGGGUAGUAUGACUGAAAAUAUUCGUUCCCUCAGCAAAAAUAUUGAUCGUAUGAUCAUUAAAUUAUUUCAGGGGAUUUCAAGUCUCUUCAAUUAUCAGUCAACAUUAUCUAAAUGAAGAACAUUAAGAUUCUGAGAUCCUACCUUGAAAGAUAUGUAAUUAUUUUGGCCUCAGGGUAGUUUUUUGCAUUUUAGCAGCGGCUCUAAAUCUCUGAUAACCUCUCCAAAACCAUAGGUUUAUAACCCCGUACUGUUUUCUCAGAGAAGUUUGAUAAGUCUGAUAAUUUUAUAUGUGUCCUCCUUGAAGCUUUAUUUUGAGUUGUAACAUGUCAUCCAUCUGAUGGACUCAUUUUGAAAUAGCCGUUGGUUAAUUCAAAAUUGCUGAGUAUUGCGUCCUUUAUGGUUGUAAGAUUUGAAACUCAAUUUUCGCAUUGACCAGUGAAGUAUGUUAUUCAGUAUUUACUUUUUUCACCUGCAACUCUUUUCGUGAUUCUUCCCUCAUACUUCACGAUAUUAUGUAGUAUCAGUGGCGAGGCGUGAAUGAUCGAUUAUCGAUAUUUCCCCAUUUAAAACUAUGGUAAAGAAUUGAUUAUUAAAUUGUUCGUUGCGAACACCCUGUUUAUCGAUCCUCUUCCAUUGGUUUAAAUGGCAGGACAAUCGAUUUAUCGUUAAGCACGCCCCGUGGUUAAAGUCGGUCCCGCGAAUUCAAUCAAGCAUUAUUUUGUAAGUUCCUCGUUUUGUUUUACCAGCUGUAGAUGGCUUUUCCUCGCUGAUAUUAGGCACUUGAUGAAUGUAUAGUUGUAAGCUACCUAUUAGAGAAUUAAGUAUGCAUGCGUGGUUUGUAUUUUCCUGUUUUAGAGAUUCUCUAAUUGAGAUUAUGUAUUUUUCCUGUAAUCUUAGGUUGACAAUUUUGUAUACCUUCUUCCUGGUUGACGUUACUUAUACCACAUUCUUAUUUCACGUUUUGAGGUCGAGUAUAACUACGCCACGAGGCUUUCGUGCAAGUUUUUACUUUACUCAUUUUUUUUUUGUUGACACUAACGUCUAAUAAUUCUCUGCCAAAAACUUAGCUUUGAGAAACUAACUGCUACUAUCAGCAAUUGUCACAAAUGAUGUUUAAAAUUAAUAAUAUACGUAAAAAUGAAAAAAAAAAAUGAAUGAGCCAAGAAUGUAAUUCCUGCGGCCAUAACUAUUGUAGCUCAAAACUUUUAAGGCUCUUUUGUCAUGCUUAAAAAACUGACGUUUAUGUUUUAAAGAAUGUUAUGUAACAAUUUUAGUCCUAAAAUUUCCCGAAUCGAUAUUUCCUUCCCACGGGAAAUUCCUUCAACCAUACUUUUUGCAGAAAAAUUAUUUCUUGCGGCACAGUAAACUCAAUUGCAAUAUCUAGCCUGUAAAAAUGUCAUGUAAAUAUUGUAAGUACUUCCUGUAGGAGCAUUUUACAUCUAUGCGUACCUAGUUAAUGGGUGAAUCGACUUCACCCCCUGUACAUAGAAUUUUUUCCUCACAAUCACAAAAGGCAGAUAAGUUAUUCUGUCUUAAAACUUUUUAAUCUCACCAAUUGUUUUCUGUCCUAUAAAAAUGUUUUCAUCGCAUCAAUGUAUUUUCUUUGGGUUUUCCCUUACCUAUUUUUGGAUUUUGAUUUGUUGCCAAAUUUUGUAAUUAUGAAGUAAAAAUCAUUCCAUCAGCCAAUUUGACUUCUUUACAACUCAUUCCAAUCUCAUCACUCUUUUUAAGUUAAGACUGAAACAUCAACUUAAUUUUCCACAGAAGUAGUCAAAGUGUGUUUAAAAUGCCGAAGACUUUUUUAUGCGCUAAGUUCUGAGUAAGAUCAAUUAAACCGAUAUUUGAAUACAUUUAUUCCAUCGGUUUUGAAGUCUUUUCUUCCAAUUUUUUUGAAGGUAAGAAAUACUGUUUUUCAUGUUUGGUAAAAUAUCGGCGCUUCGUGAGCCCCUCCUCAUCUGCCGUAUGCAACUCCCCCAGUUUCGGUUAGUUUGACUGGACAUCGAAUAUCCAGGGGUAGUUAAAAAAAAAAAAAAAAUCUUGACACGAAACAACUCUCGCCGAAGCACUAAUUUUUAGGCAUGCGCCCUUUAAGGCGUUUGAGAGACAUUUAAAUAUGUUUCUAUUUCUUUUUUUAAUUUUUUUAAAAUGAUAAUUAUUUGGGUACAUUACAGUACAUUUGGAGCAACCUUGACCUUAACAUUUCUGAAACUCCAAAAAUGAGAGAUACCUCAUCUUGCGUUGAUGACGGCGCAGAGAUACAACUAUUCAUGCUUGAUGGGUGUCCGUGUUGCAUCUGCAAAAUUGAAGGCGCCAUUGCUUGAGGCGCAAACUCUCAAUACUCCGCCCUAUGCUGCCGAUGAGGUGCCGCUCACAAUCAAAUUCGGAAUUGAAGUUAAAAAGAAACCCGAUUAAGUCUCUGCUAUCUUCAACUGUGUUGACACUCGUUUUUUUUAUUAAGAUAUAUUUGUUGACCUUUAUCCAAAGCUCAUAUCUAUUGUUCUACUGGCUCUCUAAAUGCUUGUUAACCUCCAUGAAUUGGGAAUUCCAUAAAUACUCAGUCCAUAACUA
Molecule: long non-coding RNA, 4225 nt
Filed under: Bemisia tabaci
Lineage: Eukaryota; Metazoa; Arthropoda; Insecta; Hemiptera; Aleyrodidae
Description: lncRNA ENSSSA2NGG014356
Source: RNAcentral